RNAcentral lists this ribosomal RNA (380 nucleotides) under uncultured eukaryote. RNAcentral's name for it is "partial 18S ribosomal RNA". It matches the Rfam family "Eukaryotic small subunit ribosomal RNA", at positions 592 to 976 of the family's 1831-position model. The record is from RNAcentral.
CAAUAGCGUAUAUGAAAGUUGUUGCGGUUAAAAAGUUCGUAGUUGGAUUUCUGCCAAGGACGACCGGUCCGCCCUCUGGGUGAGUAUCUGGCUUGGCCUGGGCAUCUUCUUGGAGAACGUUGCUGCACUUCGCUGUGUGGCGCGGUAUCCAGGACCUUUACUUUGAGGAAAUUAGAGUGUUUCAAGCAGGCUUUCGCCUUGAAUACAUUAGCAUGGAAAAAUAAGAUAGGACCUCGGUUCUAUUUUGUUGGUUUCUAGAGCCGGGGUAAUGAUUAAUAGGGAUAGUUGGGGGCAUUCGUAUUUAACUGUCAGAGGUGAAAUUCUUGGAUUUGUGAAAGACGGACUACUGCGAAAGCAUUUGCCAAGGAUGUUUUCAUUGA